RNAcentral lists this microRNA precursor (59 nucleotides) under Pristionchus pacificus. RNAcentral's name for it is "mir-8364 microRNA precursor family". It matches the Rfam family "mir-8364 microRNA precursor family". Lineage: Eukaryota; Metazoa; Nematoda; Chromadorea; Rhabditida; Neodiplogasteridae. The record is from Rfam by way of RNAcentral.
UCUUCAUUUCGCACACUCUCGCCCGUCAGAGAGGCGAGAGAGCAUGGGAAAUGAAGAGA